GAUGAAGAACGUAGCGAAAUGCGAUACUUGGUGUGAAUUGCAGAAUCCCGUGAACCAUCGAGUCUUUGAACGCAAGUUGCGCCCGAAGCCAUUAGGCCGAGGGCACGCCUGCCUGGGCGUCACACGUCGUUGCCCCCCAUCUACUCCUUCGGGAUUGCGGGGGGCGGAUGAUGGCCUCCCGUGCGCCUCGUCGCGCGGUUGGCAUAAAUGCCAAGUCCUCGGCGACGCACGCCACGACAAUCGGUGGUUGCGAAACCUCGGUUGCCCGUCGUGUGCGGUCGUCGCGCAUCGAGGGCUCGAAAAAAUUGCCGGGCUCCGGCUCGGCUUUCAACGCGACCCCAGGUCAGGCGGGGUUACCCGCUGAGUUUAAGCAUAUCAAUAAGCGGAGGA
RNAcentral lists this unclassified non-coding RNA (390 nucleotides) under soil metagenome. RNAcentral's name for it is "partial contains 5.8S ribosomal RNA, internal transcribed spacer 2, and large subunit ribosomal RNA". The stretch from base 1 to 122 matches the Rfam family "5.8S ribosomal RNA", at positions 35 to 154 of the family's 154-position model. The record is from RNAcentral.